RNAcentral lists this ribosomal RNA (492 nucleotides) under uncultured bacterium. Its description in RNAcentral is "partial 16S ribosomal RNA". It matches the Rfam family "Bacterial small subunit ribosomal RNA", at positions 29 to 507 of the family's 1533-position model. The record is from RNAcentral.
AGUGAACGCUGGCGGUAGGCCUAACACAUGCAAGUCGAACGGCAGCACAGUAAGAGCUUGCUCUUACGGGUGGCGAGUGGCGGACGGGUGAGGAAUACAUCGGAAUCUACUUUUUCGUGGGGGAUAACGUAGGGAAACUUACGCUAAUACCGCAUACGACCUACGGGUGAAAGCAGGGGAUAUUCGGACCUUGCGCGAUUGAAUGAGCCGAUGUCGGAUUAGCUAGUUGGCGGGGUAAAGGCACACCAAGGCGACGAUCCGUAGCUGGUCUGAGAGGAUGAUCAGCCACACUGGAACUGAGACACGGUCCAGACUCCUACGGGAGGCAGCAGUGGGGAAUAUUGGACAAUGGGCGCAAGCCUGAUCCAGCCAUACCGCGUGGGUGAAGAAGGCCUUCGGGUUGUAAAGCCCUUUUGUUGGGAAAGAAAAGCAGCAGGUGAAUACCCCGCUGUUCUGACGGUACCCAAAGAAUAAGCACCGGCUAACUUCGUG